UGGAUGGCAUUGGCUUUAGAGCGCCAUUCGGGAGUGAGACUCCGUAGGACUUUUCGAACAAGAUCUUUGUUCGUGUAAACUUUCCUGAGAGCAUGGAGAUCGUUGACGAUUCUUAAAAAUCGUUCAAACAUAACACCAAUGGGUUCCUUAUCCAUUUUAAAGAUUUCAUAUUUAUGUGUUAGAAAAUCAAUUUUGGCUUCUCGGACUAAAGGCGUACCUUCAUAAAUGAUCUCGAGCUUAUCCCACAUCUCCUUCGCGGUUGUGCAGCAAGAGAUUUUUCGAUAAUCAUCUGGAUUCACCACACAAUAUAAUACAU
RNAcentral lists this long non-coding RNA (316 nucleotides) under Nicotiana benthamiana. RNAcentral describes it as "long non-coding RNA (NBEN_LNC028902)". The record is from RNAcentral. Lineage: Eukaryota; Viridiplantae; Streptophyta; Magnoliopsida; Solanales; Solanaceae.